This 438-nucleotide long non-coding RNA is filed under the name Pongo abelii (Sumatran orangutan). RNAcentral describes it as "lincRNA". The record is from RNAcentral. Lineage: Eukaryota; Metazoa; Chordata; Mammalia; Primates; Hominidae.
CUGGUGGGAUGCAGCCCUGCUGAAGCCCCAGAGCUCAGUCCAGUGCUGGGCACAUAGUAGGCGCUCAGGAAAUGAUUGCUGAAUGUGGAAUGAAAGUCCCCAGCAGGCAAAAGCCUGUGACUUCUGUUAGUGGGGCGGUGGUCCUCUGGGGCAAGUGCAUGGAGAACUUCAAGGCCUCGUCCUGGCUGCCCAGGAAGUAGAGGGCGCCAAAGGCGACGUGCCGGCGGCCAGCUCCAGGCCGAGCCCCGAGCGCCUGCAGGAACAGGCCCCUUCACCCGGCGCGGGACGCAGAGCAGCGCGAGAAUGUUGUUUCAGUGCGGACUCAACGCCAGGGCGCCGCCUAGAGGUUGGUCUCUGUCUCGUCCUCACCCGCCGGGAGACCACAGAGCUGCUUCACCAGCCGCCCGCCGCCAGAAAUUGAAAAAACAAAUAAAAAUA